UGAGCAAUCUGCCCUUCACAUCGGAAUAACCAUUGGAAACGAUGGCUAAUGCCGAAUAUGACUUCGGAUCGCAUGAUCUGAAGUGGAAAGCUCCGGCGGUGAAGGAUGAGCUCGCGGCCUAUCAGCUUGUUGGUGAGGUAAUAGCUCACCAAGGCGACGACGGGUAGCCGGCCUGAGAGGGUGACCCGGCCACACUGGAACUGAGAUACGGUCAGA
RNAcentral lists this ribosomal RNA (216 nucleotides) under uncultured bacterium. RNAcentral's name for it is "partial 16S ribosomal RNA". It matches the Rfam family "Bacterial small subunit ribosomal RNA", at positions 118 to 335 of the family's 1533-position model. The record is from RNAcentral.